This 465-nucleotide ribosomal RNA is filed under the name uncultured bacterium. RNAcentral describes it as "partial 16S ribosomal RNA". It matches the Rfam family "Bacterial small subunit ribosomal RNA", at positions 338 to 795 of the family's 1533-position model. The record is from RNAcentral.
CCUACGGGAGGCUGCAGUAGGGAAUCUUCCACAAUGGGCGAAAGCCUGAUGGAGCAACGCCGCGUGGGUGAAGAAGGUCUUCGGAUCGUAAAACCCUGUUGUUAGAGAAGAAAGUGCGUGAGAGUAACUGUUCACGUUUCGACGGUAUCUAACCAGAAAGCCACGGCUAACUACGUGCCAGCAGCCGCGGUAAUACGUCGGUGGCAAGCGUUAUCCGGAUUUAUUGGGCGUAAAGGGAACGCAGGCGGUCUUUUAAGUCUGAUGUGAAAGCCUUCGGCUUAACCGGAGUAGUGCAUUGGAAACUGGGAGACUUGAGUGCAGAAGAGGAGAGUGGAACUCCAUGUGUAGCGGUGAAAUGCGUAGAUAUAUGGAAGAACACCAGUGGCGAAAGCGGCCUUCUGGUCUGUAACUGACGCUGAGGUUCGAAAGCGUGGGUAGCAAACAGGAUUAGAUACCCGAGUAGUC